RNAcentral lists this ribosomal RNA (504 nucleotides) under uncultured bacterium. Its description in RNAcentral is "partial 16S ribosomal RNA". It matches the Rfam family "Bacterial small subunit ribosomal RNA", at positions 30 to 523 of the family's 1533-position model. The record is from RNAcentral.
AUUGAACGCUGGCGGCAUGCCUCACACAUGCAAGUCGAACGGCAGCAUGGAGAGCUUGCUCUCUGAUGGCGAGUGGCGAGCGGGUGAGUAAUGCAUCGGAACGUACCGUGUAAUGGGGGAUAACGUAGCGAAAGUUACGCUAAUACCGCAUACGACCUGAGGGUGAAAGCAGGGGAUCGCAAGACCUUGCGUUAUACGAGCGGCCGAUGUCAGAUUAGCUAGUUGGUGAGGUAAAGGCUCACCAAGGCGACGAUCUGUAGCGGGUCUGAGAGGAGGAUCCGCCACACUGGGAAUGAGACACGGCCCAGACUCCUACGGGAGGCAGCAGUGGGGAAUUUUGGACAAUGGGGGCAACCCUGAUCCAGCCAUGCCGCGUGAGUGAAGAAGGCCUUCGGGUUGUAAAGCUCUUUCGGCCGGGAAGAAAUCGCACAGGCUAAUACUCUGUGUGGAUGACGGUACCGGCAUAAGAAGCACCGGCUAACUACAUGCCAGCAGCCGCCGUAA